RNAcentral lists this long non-coding RNA (4155 nucleotides) under Marmota monax (woodchuck). Lineage: Eukaryota; Metazoa; Chordata; Mammalia; Rodentia; Sciuridae. The record is from RNAcentral.
UGUGGCUGGUGGAGUAGGUCACAGGGUUGAGCCUUUGGGUGGCAUGUUUUGUCCCUGGAGAACUGAGUCGCUCUCUGGCUGUCAUGGACUGAGAGCUGCCCUCUCCUGCCAGGCUCCUCCGCCAUGAUGUCCUGCCUCGUCCUGGGCCCAGAGCUAUGGAGUCCCCGGACCACAGACGGAGCCUCGGAAUCCAGGAGCCAAGGUAACCUGUUCUUCCUCCAGGUGGUUCUGGUCAGGUCACAGUGACAAAACCACCCAGGCUUUCUAUCACAGUAUGGGCAUCCCACCCACCAGAACAAGGUACUGCGGUCCCCGCGGGUGACAGCCCAACGUGAGAACCGGCCUGCAGCAGCCCCCAGGCUCAGCCCCCCGGGUCCCCUCAGGGAGCCUCCGGUGGCCGUGCUGUUUCCGACCAGGCAACGUGCGCACGGUCUCUCUGAACAGAGUGAAUCACAAAGCCAUCGAGAACCGGAUUUUAAGAUUGCUUGUGCGCUCUGCGUGGCCUCUGGGUUCAGGCCCAAGACACAAUGCACAGGGCCCUGGAAACAGGGUGAAUGCAGGCGGGUGACCAAAACCACUGGGAGGGCUCAGAGAGCACCCAAGUGCCCACCUGUGCUUCCCCAGUGAGACCCCCUCAGGUGCUGUGUGGUUUCCGAGAGUUCCUGGGGCAGGUGGAGCUGAGGGGUUCGUGGUCCAUAAGACUUAAGCUGGUGGACAAGUCGAGCAUUUGCCAGGAAGGCCGGUUGUUCUUAUUUCCAGGGUCAGGUUUUUAACUAUUUUUUUUUUAAAUCAGGGAUUGAACCCAGUGGUGCUUAACCACCGAGCUGUAUCCCCAGCCCCCUUAGUGACAGGGGGGUCUCACUAAAUUGCUGAGGCUGGCCUCCAACUUGCAAUCCUCCUGCCUCAGCCUCCCAAAUUGCUGGCCAGCCUGGCAAGUUAGUGAGACCCUGUUUUAAAAUAAAAAAUGAAAAGGGCUGGAGAUGCACCUGGUGAAUUUUAGCCAUUUUAAUGCAGCUAGAAUCUUGUGUGACCUCAUCACCAUCCAACUCAGGGCCUUUUUUUUUUUUUUUAACAAAUCUGCAACUGUGCUCCCACCAAGCCCACCCGCUCCUGCUCCCUCUGCCCCUGGCCACCCUGUUCCCUUUUCUUUCUGUCUCUGUGAUUUUGACUUCUUGAAGAGCCGCAUCUGAGUGGAUCAUCAGCCUUUGUGUUUUGUCUGACUUUAUUCUUUGGACAAAGACUGACAGAUGAUGGUCUGCAGCUCCGCGGAUUUUAUUAUAUCCUAAAGUAUUUUUCCCCACAGAAAGAAAAACAUGUUUGAAAAGAAAACUCUUUGAUUUGGGUUUUGAAAAGAUCACUGCAGGAGUGGAGGAGGAAAUGCCGCCGGCGCAGGGAAGAGCUGGCCCCGGGCCUGUGGCCGCAGAGCCCACCUUGGGCCGGGAGCAGGAGAGCUGGCAUCCGACAGCGGGCGAUGGAGCCGAGCGCAGCCUCCCCUUGCCCAGAGGGGGAGGCCCGAGUCUCCUGGCAGCCUCCAGAGCCGGCAGAGCAGAGGACGAGACGCAAGAGCAGCCCUGGGCAGCCCUGGGCAGAGGGGCACCUCCACGUGGGCUCUUCUGCCGGCUGUUGCAGAUGGCAGGUGCUGUGACCUUGGAGACGUUCCAGGGAGGCUGGGACGAGCCAGGCUUGGUGACACAUGGGAGCCAAGCACCUGAAAGCCCAGGGGACUAUACAGUCACAGGGAGGUCAUUGGCCAGCGGCUGUCCUCAUCCACUCGGGACGGGCAGGCGCGGCCCUCAGCAUUUUGUUCGUUCCUGGCACAUCACACACCCCCGCUCCUCACGGAGACGACUUCUUCUCCAUCCCCCCGGGACUGGGGACUGAGCCCAGGGCUGCUCUGCCCGGGCCGCAUCUCCAGCCCCUGUCAUUUUUUAAGACAGGGUCUCGCUAAGUUGCCAGGCUGGCCUUGAACUUGAAACCUCCUGCCUCAGCCUCCUAAGCUGUUGCUAAGCCACCAGGCUGUGGUCUUUGCCAUGGUGUCCCCGCUGUCUUCGGUGUGGGCACCGCCAGGCUCAUGGAGGGGGACGUGAACGUGGGCGUUGGAGCUGCAGGGCCAGGCUGUGCCACACCCGGCUCUCCUGGCCCCGGAGGCCUCACAGGGCUCACUCAGGGCUCACUCACCCGCUGCCAGACAGGCGGGUGCCAGGCCCAUGGCACCUGUCGCCCGAGACACCCAGAGUGGGGACUUUGCAGUGCUGUCUUUGAGCUUCCCGGCAGAGGUAGCGGUGGGGACAGGUACCCUCUCCUGUAGCCCCUCCAGCACCAGGUGUUCCUGAAGCCCCUCCCCCUAAGGCCAUCUGGACCACGAGGUCAUGGGCGGGCCCUGUGGGUGCUGGGCGGGACUUCUGGGUGCUGGGUGGGCCCUGAAGAGGCCCGUGCCUAUGUCCCACGUCCUGUUCGAGCUGUAGGACCUGCUGUUCCCGGGCGGGCAGGAGCCAUGGUUGGGGCUGUGCUGAGAUGGGCCUCCCAGCUCUGUGACGGUGACAGGGAGGGACAUCCUUCUGUCCCGUGAACUCCAUGCUCAUGGGCAUUGCUGCUGCCCUGCUGGCGCCUGCGCUUCCCCCUCCCCUGCCUUGGAGGAUGCAGGGCAGCAGAGAGAGAAAUCACAGCUGGACUCCAGGGCCCCAGGGAGAGGAGUGUCAGUCACAGCUGGCAGGUGCCUUGUGUUCCCCUCCCCCAGAGCUUGGCUUCAGCACCUCCCUACCCAGUCACCCCCAGUCUGUCCGUCAUUGCAGGAUGACACGUGGUUAUAGCCCCUGCCCCAUCUUACCAAUAACAAAAUUGGGCUCAGAGAGGUUGAUACACUCAUCCAAGGUCACCCAGGGGGCUAGCGUCGUGGCUGGACCCAGAAUACAACCAAAGUUAGAACUAAAUGACAGUUUGGGACUGGCUUAUGACACUGGUCCUGGUCAUGCAGCAAGCUGGGCAGGAGGAGGUCACCGUCCCACUGAGAGAGGGGAGGGGCGGUGAGGAGAGGUGAACUGGGUCUCUCCCUCCAUCUGGCUUUGCCAGCCUGACCAUCCACAUGGUGCUGGUCCUGCAGUCCCUGGGGGGCACCCAGCCAGGAGGUAGACACCCAGGGCCUGGCCGGACCAUGCACAAUAAUUGAAAUCAUUUCACAAUUGUCUUUGUCACAACAGCAUAAACAAUACAAUAACAGUGGAAUCCAGCAAUAAUAUGAAGUGUAUUGUGCCAGCCUGAGGACCAGGACUACGUCAAGGCCAGCUGUGGACGUCCAGCCACACGUUGGUGGCUGUAGGUCCAUGUCUUCCUGUUGACCUCAGGAGGGCCCCUGCACGCGGCCAGGCUUACCAACAGGACACCCUUGGGAGAGAGAAGUGCACUUACCAGGAAAUUCAGCCCUGACCCAACGUGUCAUUUAACGGAUGGGUGGAAUUCGCUCAGGUUUUCCCCAGUGCCAUCCGCCCGGGAGGCUUUCUGUCCCCGUGGCCUAGCAUUCACUCCGCGGUCCCAGCUGCAGUGGCCGUCUCUCCUCUGAUGCACAGCGAGUUGUCCCGUGGUGUCCCUCCAUCUAGCUUUGUCAGCUGUUUUCUUUUUCCCUUUAUUCAUGUUUUCCUUGCUGGGGACGGAACCCAGGGGCUCUCAACCCUGAGCCACAGCCCGGCCCUUUUGAUAUUUUAUUUAGAGAGAGAGUCUUGCUGAGUUGCUUAGGGCCUUGCGAAGUUGCUGAGGCUGGCUUUGAACUUGUGAUCCUCCUACCUCAGCCUCCUGAGCUGCUGGGAUUAUAGGCGUGCACCGUGGUGCCCAGCUUGCCUGCUGUUUUCGAAAGCUGGAUGUGUGUUUCCGGUGGAGUGAAUCCUGAGGUCUGUGUCUUUUGCUUGAAUCUUUGAAAAACAAACAAACAAAAACCAAAAAACAAACAAACAAACAAAAAACCCCCCCAAAACCCAAACUAAUCGCAAAGAUUAAAACCUGAGAGAUUGUCUGCUUGUCUUGACUUCUGUGUCCUCUCAUGGACAGAGAGCUCUGCCCUGGGCCCCUGGACUGGGAUCCUUCAGGGAACGGUCCUGCAGCUGGGUGGUGGGUAUCUGAGAUGGGGCAGGUGUGAUGGGUGCCGUCCCCCCUCAUCGGGGUGAG